CACGUUUACAGUUUGCACAAGAGCACCUGGAUGUUCCACAGCAGUACUGGCAAAAUAUUCUGUGGACAGAUGAAACCAAAGUUGAGUUGUUUGGAAGAAACACACAACACUAUGUGUGGCGAAAAAAAAAGGCACAGCACACCAACAUCAAAACCUCAUCCCAACUGUGAAGUAUGGUGGUGGGGGCAUCAUGGUUUGGGGCUGCUUUGCUGCGUCAG
Non-coding RNA from Pelobates cultripes (western spadefoot toad), 218 nucleotides. The record is from the annotation of a GenBank genome assembly. Lineage: Eukaryota; Metazoa; Chordata; Amphibia; Anura; Pelobatidae.